RNAcentral lists this ribosomal RNA (440 nucleotides) under uncultured bacterium. Its description in RNAcentral is "partial 16S ribosomal RNA". It matches the Rfam family "Bacterial small subunit ribosomal RNA", at positions 338 to 795 of the family's 1533-position model. The record is from RNAcentral.
CCUACGGGUGGCAGCAGUGGGGAAUAUUGCACAAUGGGGGAAACCCUGAUGCAGCGACGCCGCGUGAGGGAAGAAGUAUUUCGGAAUGUAAAGCUCUGUCAGCAGGGAAGAAAAUGACGGUACCUGACUAAGAAGCCCCGGCUAACUACGUGCCAGCAGCCGCGGUAAGACGGAGGGGGCAAGCGUUAUCCGGAUUUACUGGGUGGAAAGGGUGCGUAGGUGGGAGGGCAAGUCAGCUGUGAAAGCCCGGGGCUUAACCCCGGUACUGCAUUUGAAACUGUCCAGCUGGAGUGCAGGAGAGGUUAGCGGAAUUCCUAGUGUAGCGGUGAAAUGCGUAGAUAUUAGGAGGAACACCAGUGGCGAAGGCGGCUUACUGGACUGUAACUGACGCUGAGGCACGAAAGCGUGGGGAGCAAACAGGAUUAGAUACCCGUGUAGUC